RNAcentral lists this ribosomal RNA (163 nucleotides) under Euphrasia transmorrisonensis var. durietziana. RNAcentral describes it as "5.8S ribosomal RNA". It matches the Rfam family "5.8S ribosomal RNA". From Rfam's summary of the family: 5.8S ribosomal RNA (5.8S rRNA) is a component of the large subunit of the eukaryotic ribosome. Lineage: Eukaryota; Viridiplantae; Streptophyta; Magnoliopsida; Lamiales; Orobanchaceae. The record is from RNAcentral.
CGACUCUCGGCAACGGAUAUCUCGGCUCUCGCAUCGAUGAAGAACGUAGCGAAAUGCGAUACUUGGUGUGAAUUGCAGAAUCCCGUGAACCAUCGAGUCUUUGAACGCAAGUUGCGCCCGAAACCAUCCGGUUGAGGGCACGUCUUCCUGGGCGUCACGCAUC